This 253-nucleotide ribosomal RNA is filed under the name uncultured bacterium. RNAcentral describes it as "partial 16S ribosomal RNA". It matches the Rfam family "Bacterial small subunit ribosomal RNA", at positions 524 to 776 of the family's 1533-position model. The record is from RNAcentral.
UACGGAGGGGGCUAGCGUUGUUCGGAAUUACUGGGCGUAAAGCGCACGUAGGCGGCUUUGCAAGUUAGAGGUGAAAGCCCGGGGCUCAACUCCGGAAUUGCCUUUAAAACUGCAUCGCUAGAAUUGUGGAGAGGUAAGUGGAAUUCCGAGUGUAGAGGUGAAAUUCGUAGAGAUUGGGAAGAACACCGGUGGCGAAGGCGGCUCACUGGACCGACAUUGACGCUGAGGCGCGAAAGCGUGGGGAGCAAACAGG